This 426-nucleotide ribosomal RNA is filed under the name uncultured bacterium. Its description in RNAcentral is "bacterial SSU rRNA". It matches the Rfam family "Bacterial small subunit ribosomal RNA", at positions 356 to 773 of the family's 1533-position model. The record is from RNAcentral.
AGGGAAUCUUCCGCAAUGGACGAAAGUCUGACGGAGCAACGCCGCGUGAGUGAAGAAGGCCUUCGGGUCGUAAAACUCUGUUGUCGGGGAAGAACAAGUGCCGUUCGAACAGGGCGGCGCCUUGACGGUACCCGGCCAGAAAGCCACGGCUAACUACGUGCCAGCAGCCGCGGUAAUACGUAGGUGGCCAGCGUUGUCCGGAAUUAUUGGGCGUAAAGCGCGCGCAGACGGCUUCUUAAGUCUGAUGUGAAAGCUUGCGGCUCAACCGCAAGCGGUCAUUGGAAACUGGGGGGCUUGAGUGCAGAAGAGGAGAGUGGAAUUCCACGUGUAGCGGUGAAAUGCGUAGAGAUGUGGAGGAACACCAGUGGCGAAGGCGACUCUCUGGGCUGUAACUGACGCUGAGGCGCGAAAGCGUGGGGAGCAAAC